UGCCUCACGCCCUUAUAUGUAAGGUACGCCCUGCCCAGUGAGCUACGCGCUUAAACGGCCGCGGUAUCUUGACCGUGCAAAGGUAGCAUAAUCAUUUGCCUUUUAAUUGUAGGCUAGUAUGAAUGGGUAAACGAGAAAGCACUUGUCUCUUUUUUAUUAAGUAAAAUUGACCUUUAGGUGAAGAUGCCUAAAUAUACUAAAAAGACAAAAAGACCCUAUUGAGUUUAAUAAAAUUAGCAACACACUGACAACUAACUGCAUGAAAGUGACCACGUUACUUUAUUUGGUUGGGGCAACCGAGGAGCAAACACACCCUCCUCUUUUAUAUAAGACUUUAAGUCAAUAAGACCCACCUCCGUGAUCAAAAAAAUAACACUACCAUAGGGAUAACAGGCUAAUUUCUUCAGAGAGCCCAUAUUGACGAAGAAGUUUGGCACCUCGAUGUUGGCUUAGGACAUCCCUCAAGUGCAGCAGCUUGAAAGGGUUGGUUUGUUCACCCAUUAAAGUCCUA
RNAcentral lists this ribosomal RNA (511 nucleotides) under Gyptis brunnea. Its description in RNAcentral is "partial 16S ribosomal RNA". It matches the Rfam family "Bacterial large subunit ribosomal RNA", at positions 1829 to 2598 of the family's 2925-position model. The record is from RNAcentral. Lineage: Eukaryota; Metazoa; Annelida; Polychaeta; Phyllodocida; Hesionidae.